AUUGAACGCUGGCGGCAGGCUUAACACAUGCAAGUCGAGCGGGGGAAGGUAGCUUGCUACCGGACCUAGCGGCGGACGGGUGAGUAAUGCUUAGGAAUCUGCCUAUUAGUGGGGGACAACAUCUCGAAAGGGAUGCUAAUACCGCAUACGUCCUACGGGAGAAAGCAGGGGAUCUUCGGACCUUGCGCUAAUAGAUGAGCCUAAGUCGGAUUAGCUAGUUGGUGGGGUAAAGGCCUACCAAGGCGACGAUCUGUAGCGGGUCUGAGAGGAUGAUCCGCCACACUGGGACUGAGACACGGCCCAGACUCCUACGGGAGGCAGCAGUGGGGAAUAUUGGACAAUGGGGGGAACCCUGAUCCAGCCAUGCCGCGUGUGUGAAGAAGGCCUUAUGGUUGUAAAGCACUUUAAGCGAGGAGGAGGCUACUUUAGUUAAUACCUAGAGAUAGUGGACGUU
This 454-nucleotide ribosomal RNA is filed under the name Acinetobacter baumannii OIFC109. RNAcentral's name for it is "bacterial SSU rRNA". It matches the Rfam family "Bacterial small subunit ribosomal RNA", at positions 30 to 476 of the family's 1533-position model. The record is from RNAcentral. Lineage: Bacteria; Pseudomonadati; Pseudomonadota; Gammaproteobacteria; Moraxellales; Moraxellaceae.